CAGUCGCCGCGGUAAUACGGAGGGGGCUAGCGUUGUUCGGAAUUACUGGGCGUAAAGCGUACGUAGGCGGCUUUGUAAGUUAGAGAUGAAAGCCUGGUGCUCAACACCAGAACUGCCUUUAAGACUGCAUCGCUUGAACGUCGGAGAGGUGAGUGGAAUUCCGAGUGUAGAGGUGAAAUUCGUAGAUAUUCGGAAGAACACCAGUGGCGAAGGCGGCUCACUGGACGCGUAUUGACGCUGAGGUGCGAAAGCGUGGGGAGUAAACAGGAUUAGAUACCCCAGUAGUCCAUGUCUCUUAUAA
This 301-nucleotide ribosomal RNA is filed under the name uncultured bacterium. RNAcentral's name for it is "partial 16S ribosomal RNA". It matches the Rfam family "Bacterial small subunit ribosomal RNA", at positions 509 to 809 of the family's 1533-position model. The record is from RNAcentral.